CCUACGGGUGGCAGCAGUGGGGGAUAUUGCUCAAUGGACGGAACUCUGAUGCAGCCACGCCGCGUGAGGGAAGAAUGUUCUCGGAUUUUUAACCUCUGUCUUCGGUGACGAAACGAGACGGUAGCCUAGGAGGAUGCCACGGCUAACUACGUGCCAGCAGCCGCGGUAAUACGUAGGUGGCAAGCUUUGUCCGGAAUUACUGGGUGUAACGGGAGCGUAGGCGGGAAAGCAAGUUGAAUGUUUAAGGUACGGGCUCAACCUGUACAAGCGUUCAAAACUGUUUUUCUUGAGUGGAGUAGAGGUAAGCGGAAUUCGUAGUGUAGCUGUGAAAUGCGUAAAUAUUAGGAGGAACACCAGUGGCGAAGGCAGCUUACUGGGCUUUAACUGACGCUGAGGCUCGAAAGCGUGGGUAGCAAACAGGAUUAGAUACCCGAGUAGUC
RNAcentral lists this ribosomal RNA (440 nucleotides) under uncultured bacterium. Its description in RNAcentral is "partial 16S ribosomal RNA". It matches the Rfam family "Bacterial small subunit ribosomal RNA", at positions 338 to 795 of the family's 1533-position model. The record is from RNAcentral.